AGCACUUGGACUUUAUAGGUGCAUUUAGGCUACUGCGUAACAGUUUUAGAUUGAUAAACAACUUGAAUCAUCAACAACUUGAAUCAAUAUCAAAGUCUACGUAAACAUAUUAUACGCAGUACUAGAUCUAGCUGAAAUGUAACAUUCGAAUGGUACAUAAAAACACUAACAACGAAAAAGUGACGUGUGGAAUUUUGGCUUACUAACAUCAUACUUGCAGGGACGGAGGGUGACAAAAUUCAAUAUGUAGGCUGCUAAUUUACUAGGGGGUCCGGAGGCAUGCCCCUUCGAAAAAGUUUGAAAUUCUGUAUCACCGAAGAUGCGUUCUUGGGCACAUUGAAACAUAAUUUGAGACAAAAAAGAAAAAUGUGUAGGCACGUACCAUAAGUGGCUAUAGAAAGCUACACCAAAGACUUGGUAACCUGUACGAAAUAUCACCUUUUCCACCGUGAAUAAGUCUGAAAGGUUUUUAACCUGAUUUGAACCUUAUGGCAAGGAGAUAUAACCAUACCCUACAUGGACGUGUAGUCAUAUACCAUUCUACCGUUUGAGACCAUGAUCGGGUACCUGGGAUAUCACAAAGGUGAGGGGCAGUUCAUACAAGGUGAACGGGUAGUGUUCGAACUUAGCAUACUUCAUUAUUUUGACGAUAUCUGGAAGGUUUUCGGCCUUGUUCGUGCUCCUGCGACCAAAAGAUACACAUGUGUACCCAUACUAUACAUGGACAUAAUCGGAAGAAGCUCUAGAUGUCAGAGUAGCUCUUACAUGGAUGUAUGACAGGGUGAUUCUAAGUAUAUGUAGACACUAUGUUACGCUCUUACCGUGAUUCGUUUGAGUCUCUGCAUGUUGGAUAGGACACCGGGCACAUUUUUCAUGCAAUCUCGCCAGGCAUAGACACAGAAAAUGACGUCAGCUAUUCCCGGCAGUACAGAAAAUAAAAGUAGACAGGCUUAACUUGAAAACGAAAUUCGCAUUUGCAUUUGUCGAUAGUCAGGGGUCACGCGCAGGGGUCACCCCGUCUAAAUGUAUGCGCGUGGACUUCUCUUUGAAAAUACCUGUUUUUUAGCACGACAUGCCAGCUUUUCAUCUACGAAACCAUAAACACAAAUCCCACGGAGCAACGGUAGAUCUAUAUCGAGAUUUUUUCAAAAGGUCCUUUUUGAUGUUGUCUGAAAGUGUCAGUAUAUGCCUCGGAUGUAAGAUAUUUCCGUAAUUGAGAGCUACACACCUAGACAUUUCAGAAAUAACUUCAAAAUGAAUUUCGUUUAAUAAAUGUUGAUUCUACGGAAGCGUGAAAGGGCCAUCAGACGCUAAUACGUUUUAUUACGUUACAGGAGCGGAAAGGAUAUGAAUGUGUAUAGGCUGGUAUAUGAUCAUUUUAUUUUUACUUUUUGUAAAGAGUUAGUAAAAUGUCUUUAAAGCUAG
Molecule: long non-coding RNA, 1425 nt
Organism: Mercenaria mercenaria
Lineage: Eukaryota; Metazoa; Mollusca; Bivalvia; Venerida; Veneridae
Exons: 2
Source: RefSeq, a predicted model, not a curated record